UGGGGAAUAUUGGACAAUGGGCGCAAGCCUGAUCCAGCCAUGCCGCGUGAGUGAUGAAGGCCCUAGGGUUGUAAAGCUCUUUCACCGGUGAAGAUAAUGACGGUAACCGGAGAAGAAGCCCCGGCUAACUUCGUGCCAGCAGCCGCGGUAAUACGAAGGGGGCUAGCGUUGUUCGGAUUUACUGGGCGUAAAGCGCACGUAGGCGGACUUUUAAGUCAGGGGUGAAAUCCCGGGGCUCAACCCCGGAACUGCCUUUGAUACUGGAAGUCGUGAGUAUGGUAGAGGUGGGUGGAAUUCCGAGUGUAGAGGUGAAAUUCGUAGAUAUUCGGAGGAACACCAGUGGAGAAGGCGGCUCACUGGACCAUUACUGACGCUGAGGUGCGAAAGCGUGGGGAGCAAACAGG
Molecule: ribosomal RNA, 404 nt
Filed under: Actinomycetes bacterium
Lineage: Bacteria; Bacillati; Actinomycetota; Actinomycetes
Description: Actinobacteria bacterium partial 16S ribosomal RNA
Rfam family: Bacterial small subunit ribosomal RNA
Source: RNAcentral